UACGUAGGGUGCAAGCGUUGUCCGGAAUUAUUGGGCGUAAAGAGCUCGUAGGCGGUUUGUCGCGUCUGCUGUGAAAACUGGAGGCUCAACCUCCAGCCUGCAGUGGGUACGGGCAGACUAGAGUGCGGUAGGGGAGAUUGGAAUUCCUGGUGUAGCGGUGGAAUGCGCAGAUAUCAGGAGGAACACCGAUGGCGAAGGCAGAUCUCUGGGCCGUAACUGACGCUGAGAAGCGAAAGCAUGGGGAGCGAACAGG
Molecule: ribosomal RNA, 253 nt
Filed under: uncultured bacterium
Lineage: Bacteria
Description: partial 16S ribosomal RNA
Rfam family: Bacterial small subunit ribosomal RNA
Source: RNAcentral